RNAcentral lists this ribosomal RNA (253 nucleotides) under uncultured bacterium. Its description in RNAcentral is "partial 16S ribosomal RNA". It matches the Rfam family "Bacterial small subunit ribosomal RNA", at positions 524 to 776 of the family's 1533-position model. The record is from RNAcentral.
UACGGAGGGUGCAAGCGUUAUCCGGAUUCACUGGGUUUAAAGGGUGCGUAGGCGGGCAGGUAAGUCCGUGGUGAAAUCUCUGAGCUUAACUCAGAAACUGCCAUGGAUACUAUUUGUCUUGAAUAUUGUGGAGGUAAGCGGAAUAUGUCAUGUAGCGGUGAAAUGCUUAGAUAUGACAUAGAACACCAAUUGCGAAGACAGCUUACUACACAGUUAUUGACGCUGAGGCACGAAAGCGUGGGGAUCAAACAGG